GGCGUUGUAGCUCAGUGGUACAGUGCUUGCCUAGUAGGCACAAAUUCCUGAGUUCAAUCCCCAGAAACACCA
This 72-nucleotide transfer RNA is filed under the name Cavia porcellus (domestic guinea pig). It matches the Rfam family "tRNA". Rfam says of the family: Transfer RNA (tRNA) molecules are approximately 80 nucleotides in length. Their secondary structure includes four short double-helical elements and three loops (D, anti-codon, and T loops). The record is from Rfam by way of RNAcentral. Lineage: Eukaryota; Metazoa; Chordata; Mammalia; Rodentia; Caviidae.